AGUCGANCGGGANUCUUCGGAUUCUAGUGGCGGACGGGUGAGUAACGCGUAAGAAUCUAACUUCAGGACGGGGACAACAGUUGGAAACGACUGCUAAUACCCGAUAUGCCGCAAGGUGAAACCUAAUUGGCCUGGAGAAGAGCUUGCGUCUGAUUAGCUAGUUGGUGGGGUAAGAGCCUACCAAGGCGACGAUCAGUAGCUGGUCUGAGAGGAUGAGCAGCCACACUGGGACUGAGACACGGCCCAGACUCCUACGGGAGGCAGCAGUGGGGAAUUUUCCGCAAUGGGCGAAAGCCUGACGGAGCAACGCCGCGUGAGGGAGGAAGGUCUUUGGAUUGUAAACCUCUUUUCUCAAGGAAGAAGUUCUGACGGUACUUGAGGAAUCGGCCUCGGCUAACUCCGUGCCAGCAGCCGCGGUAAUACGGGGGAGGCAAGCGUUAUCCGGAAUUAUUGGGCGUAAAGCGUCCGCAGGUGGUCAGCCAAGUCUGCCGUCAAAUCAGGUUGCUUAACGACCUAAAGGCGGUGGAAACUGGCAGACUAGAGAGCAGUAGGGGUAGCAGGAAUUCCCAGUGUAGCGGUGAAAUGCGUAGAGAUUGGGAAGAACAUCGGUGGCGAAAGCGUGCUGCUGGGCUGUAUCUGACACUCAGGGACGAAAGCUAGGGGAGCGAAAGGGAUUAGAUACCCCUGUAGUUCUAGCCGUAAACGAUGGAUACUAGGCGUGGCUUGUAUCGACCCGAGCCGUGCCGAAGCUAACGCGUUAAGUAUCCCGCCUGGGGAGUACGCACGCAAGUGUGAAACUCAAAGGAAUUGACGGGGGCCCGCACAAGCGGNGGAGU
Molecule: ribosomal RNA, 836 nt
Filed under: uncultured bacterium
Lineage: Bacteria
Description: bacterial SSU rRNA
Rfam family: Bacterial small subunit ribosomal RNA
Source: RNAcentral